GAUGAACGCUGGCGGCGUGCCUAACACAUGCAAGUCGAGCGGACGGACGAGAAGCUUGUUUCUCGGAUGUUAGCGGCGGACGGGUGAGUAACACGUGGAUAACCCACCUAUAAGACUGGGACAACUUCGGGAAACCGGAGCUAAUACCGGGGAAUAUCUUGAACCGCAUGGUUCAAAAGAGAAAGACGGUCUUGCUGUUACUUACAGAUGGAACCGCGCUGCAUUAGCUAGUUGGUAAGCUAACGGCUUACCAAGGCAACGAUGCGUAGCCGACCUGAGUGGGUGGUCGCCCACAUGGGAGCGUGGACGCCGUCCAGGCGCCUACGGGACGCAGCAGUAGCGAAUCUUCCGCAAUGGGCGAGAACCUUGCGGAGCAGCGGCACGUGAGUGGUAACGGUCUUCGGUUCGUAAAACUCUGUUAUUAGUGAAGAACAUAUUUGUAAGUAACUGUGCACAUCUUGACGGUACCUGGUCAGGAAGCCCCGGCUAACUACGUG
This 497-nucleotide ribosomal RNA is filed under the name uncultured bacterium. RNAcentral's name for it is "partial 16S ribosomal RNA". It matches the Rfam family "Bacterial small subunit ribosomal RNA", at positions 28 to 507 of the family's 1533-position model. The record is from RNAcentral.